Molecule: non-coding RNA, 1435 nt
Organism: Macaca mulatta (Rhesus monkey)
Lineage: Eukaryota; Metazoa; Chordata; Mammalia; Primates; Cercopithecidae
Source: RefSeq, a predicted model, not a curated record
UCCUCCCGCCUCGGCCUCCCACCGUGCUGGGAUUCCUUCCAGCGUGAGCCACCGUGCCUGGCAUUUAUUUCUGGAUGACUCGGUGCCCAGUGUUCACAUCCCAGAGCCUCAAGCUGACCUUCCAGCCCGGACCGGCGCUAUCCGCUCCCCACUCCUCUCCCUGGAGCCCCGGACGCCUCCAGCUGGGCUCGCUCUCUCCCUGCCUGUCCCUGCACAGAUCAGGUGGCGCCACCUGCCGUCUGUCCAGCUCCUCAGCUCCUGCUCCGGUCACAGUCACGCGCUGGUCGGGUGCCGUGCGCCACGCGCCCUCCAGUGGCUCCCAGGGAUCAGGCUCUCCACCGCGCGCUCCAGCUGCCGUCCCCCUGCCCUGCCUGGGUCAGGCCACCCGGCCUGCCCACCGGGACCUCAGAACUGCCGGUACCCUUGCUGGCUGCACGGGUUUCACAGAUGAUAAAGCUGAGCGCAGCCUCAAACCCUGAAUAACCAUCAAAGUUAAGAUCCUUCAGACUCUUCCAAGCCUCACCUCAUCAUCCGUGGCCCAGCAGUCCAGAGCCACGGGCCACCCACCCGCUUGUUAGGCAGCGGCAGCUACGCGAUGUACUCUGACCUCAGACACCCCAGGACUUUGCUUAGAUUUCACAAGGGACUGGGUGCAGGCAGGAGGGGGUGGAAUUUGGCCAGUGAUGGGCCUGCCUCAGGGCAUUUUUGAGACCUGCCUGGAGAGAGCUGGGCGCUGGGCUGAGCUGUCCAAGUCCCGCUGCCCUCUGAAGCCCGGUGAGCCCACCCAGCCCUGCCAUCAUCCUGCCUCCUUGCCCCUCACCAUCCAAGGGGGGAAGAAGAACCCCGCCCUGAGGGAGCCCCAGCCAUCACGGGGAGAGCCCAGGUCCCAGAGUGAGGCGAGCUUCCAGCCUCUGGGUUCCCGGCCAGAGGUUUCCCGAUGGGGGCUGCCCACUCCGAGGGAGGAGCUUCAGGACAUCUGAACCAAGACCCCCACCACACUGGACGCCGCCCCCAGCCCCUGCAUAGGCAUCUCCCGAAAUCCACGCGCAAGAAGUUGGGCUCAUGGGCUGUCCCACCCCGAGUUCUCCAGGACCCUUGAAAAGGACCCGUCUGCAGGUGCGUGGAUAAAGCAGCACCAACCCCCUCCCCACUCACCCGAGGUCCCCAGAGCCCUCACACCCACAGACCCAGGAAGGAGAAGGGCUGGGGCGGGACUCGGAGCGGCUGUCCCGAGUCUGUCGUCUCCCGAGACGAGAGUGGAGCUUCAGCCUGGGAAGAUGAGGAGACUCUGGAGGUGACGGUGGUGGCUGCACAGUGCAGCGAAUGUGGCUGUGCCCCUGAACUGUGCACUUAAACAUGGCUGAUGGUGAAUUUUCUGUAUGUGUGUUUUAUCACAAUUUUUAAAAAUGCCAACAAGAAAACACUUGGAAAUGAA